This is a long non-coding RNA of Bos taurus (domestic cattle), 2928 nucleotides long. The record is from Ensembl. Lineage: Eukaryota; Metazoa; Chordata; Mammalia; Artiodactyla; Bovidae.
CCGGAGGGGGUGACAGCUGUCCCAGGGGAGGGGCUGGAAGGACUCUGGACUCAGAACCCACAGCUGUGGCUCUAAGCUCGUUUACUGUAAACUUAUUUUGGAGAAGUCCACUGGCCUCCCCAUGGCUGUUUCUUCAUCUUAAAAGGGAUCCACCUGCUUUCCUCUCGGGUCCCGUAGUUCCCUGAGAGUGUGGUCUCUGCCUUGCCUUUGGGUCUUCUUACAUUCUGACCCUUUGCCUGGACCACACUCUUCUUUCCUUACCCGCUCCUACAUCCCCCAAGUGAAAUCCCGCUUCUUCCAGCAAGUCUUCCUGAAGGGCCUUGUGGUGGACAUAACAUGUGUCCAGAUCACCCUUCAGUGAAAGACUUGGUGUUCCGGGUCUGGAAGGCUGUCUGCAGGUGGCCUUUGCCUCCAGUCGUCAUUCACUUCAGGGCUGCCCGCAUCCAGAGACUGAUCAGGGACUGGUGGCAGGAGGAGAAUCAAAGACCUCCUUGCGGCCAUCUCCGACCAACUCCAGACAGCGCCCUUGCUACCCCUCCCUUUCCCAGCUGUUGCUCUCAGAACACUCCCCACUAAGCACCUGUGUGCUGACCUCCAGAGAACCCAGCCUCCGACACCCCUAGUCCAAGUCCCAAAUGAUACCGACGGCACUUGGUCAUCUCCUCUCGAACACUCAUGAGGGUGUCGGGCGCUUCCUCUAUCCUGUCUCCUUGCCCUGAAUUGUCAUGCGAGAGGGGAUGAACGCAGCACUAGCAGCACAGGGCACAGAUGGAGAUGCCGGGGGGAACUCAAGAGGCAGAGAAAUAGCAGCAUCCGCAGGGCCUUGAACUCUCAUCCUCUUCAUCAUGGGUUCUCAGCUGGCACGUCCUCUGUGUGGCCAGGGCUCCUGUAGAGAGGCCUGACCCAGCCAGCCAGCUGGACAUGCAACCAUCACCAAGAGAAAGGACCCACUCCAGACUGCUGGCCAGAGAGAAUGAAGACGGCGCUCUUCUGUGCUGGUUACUGCUGUGUCUCCUAGAACAGCACCUGGCCCCUUAACUAGGCACUCAGCACACUGCUGAAUGAUGUAAAACCUACCCAUCCAUGGUAAGCGUGUCUUUUUCCUUUGCUGAGCAUCUGCUGGCUUUAGAGGGACCUGAGUUUUGGUGGCCAAGGAAGAGCGUCUCCUUGUUCUACAAAAUCCUGCCUGUUAAGGUUAUGGGUGCUGAGCACACUUUGUCCACUGUGACUGUGGGCCUUGUCUCUGAAAGUGAUAAUCCCUCUUGGGACAGACACGAGGUGCUGCCUUUCCCCGACACACGGUGCACGCUGCUCUCUGCUUCCUGGUGGAGGGUGGCAGUGCCAGGGCUCUGUGGACUCCUCUAGCUCAGCUGUAUUUGAAAGGCUGCCUGUUGACAUUCUCCGGGAGCCGGGGGCCAAGCUCCACAGCACCAACCAACCUCGUCCUGAGACCUUUCACCGGCACCUUCCGUCAAUCUCAGAGUUUUCUGGGCUCGUCAACAUUUGUUGAAGCAUCAUCCUUGCCUAUUUGCAGGUCAGCUUUAUGCCCUGCCCCCAGCCUUUUAAUGCAGGUAAACUCUGUUUGCAUAACAUCAUCGUCUGUUAAGAACAGGCUCUGGAGUCAGGCCACUCGAGUCCAGAUGCCUUCUGCCUUGCUUACUGGUUAAGUGUGCUCAGUCACUCAGUUGUGUCCAACUCUGCAACCCCACGGAAUGUAGCCAGCGUAUUAUAAAGCAGAGACAUGACUUUGCCGACAAAAGUCCAUCUUGUCAAAGCUAUGGUUUUUCCAGUAGUCAUGUAUGGAUGUAAGAGUUGGACCGUAAAACUGACAGCUAAAGAAUUGAUGCUUUUCAACUGUGGUGUUGGAGAAGACUCUAGAGAGUCCCUUGGACUGCAAGGAGAUCCAACCAGUCCCUCCUAAAGGAAAUCAGUCCUGAAUAUUCAUUGGAAGGACUGAUGCUGAAGCUGAAGCUCCAAUACUUUGGCCACCUGAUGUGAAGAACUGACUCAUUGGAAAAGACCCUGAUGCUGGGAAAGAUUGAAGGUGGGAGGAGAAGCGGAUGACAGAGGAUGAGAUGGUUGGAUGGUACCACUGACUCGAUGGACAUGAGUUUGAGCAAGUGCCAGGAGUUGCUGAUGGACAGGGAAGCCUGGUGUGCUUCAGUCCAUGGGGUUGCAGAGUCAGACAUGACUGAGCAACUGAACUGAACUGAGAGUUGAACUCCCAUGCAACAGCCAGCAUCAACUUCUAGACAUGUGAGUGUGCAUCUUGGAAGCCCACCCCAGUCAUGCCUCCAGAUGGCUCCAGCCCCAGAAGAACCACACAGCUGAGCCUAGCCAAAUGCAAGAAUCACGAGAGAACUACGGUUUGGGGUGAUUUUCCGUGCAGCAAUAGAUAACCCAACUACUGACUUGUACAAGCAGAUGGAGUAAGAGGAAGUGAGAUGAAGCUGGAGAAGUCAUCAGGAGUAGAUUAUGUGGAGCCUGCAUCACAUGUGGAGAGAGCAAGGACUCAGGUACCAGAUACAUUAAUCCCAGUUCUCUACUUAUCUGCUGUGUUACCUCGGGAAAGUCACCUAACUUCUCUGGACUUCAGUUUUCCUCUGCUAUCAAACAGAGGCAAUACAAAGAAUGAUCAUAGUAAUUAAUUCUCCUUGUUUACUGAACAGUGCCUGGCACAUAGCAGGCACUCAAUCAAUAUUUGUUGAAUGAAUGAAUUUAGUGGGCUAGAAUUGAGGAGGUACAAAGAAGAAAUGAUCUUAUUUUUCUCCUCCUCCUGAAAAUUUCUUCUGUCAAAGGUGGUUUCCCUCUCUUGACUCCUGAUGAUAAUCAGGCAGAUCCAUGACUUCUUGGUCCCUUUGGGGCAAAAUAACAGUUUCAUUUUGGUAAUUAAAACUCACUUCCAGUCAUUAGAAAGUCCACUUUGAC